UUGUUACUACUUACUUCCAUAGCCUCGGGAUAUUGUUGAAUGGAGGAAGAUAAGUUCAUAGGCUCGGGAUCCAUCUUUUGAUGAAAAAGAAAGGGAAUGGUGCAUAUCAAAGACCGAUAGUAGUGCAUAGCAUAUACAAAUUGGUGUUGAACACAUGGAGAUCCAAGACAUAGUCGACCCCAAGUCACCAACUUCUUGUCCUCCACAAACACCAUGUUGUGGGUUUUUGCUCAAGUCACUAUCCACUGAUGCGAGAGAGCUUGUGCCCUAGCUCUUCAAGUGUGUUCCUUGCCUCUGGGGUCUUGUUGUGAGCACUCUUUGG
Long non-coding RNA from Lolium rigidum, 322 nucleotides. RefSeq lists it as uncharacterized. Lineage: Eukaryota; Viridiplantae; Streptophyta; Magnoliopsida; Poales; Poaceae. The record is from RefSeq and is a predicted model, not a curated record. The transcript has 3 exons.